UACAGAGGUCCCAAGCGUUGUUCGGAUUCACUGGGCGUAAAGGGUGCGUAGGUGGCCAGGUAAGUUUGGUGUGAAAGCUCGGAGCUUAACUCCGAAAAGUCAUUGAAUACUAUCUGGCUGGAGGGUCGGAGGGGAGACUGGAAUUCUCGGUGUAGCAGUGAAAUGCGUAGAUAUCGAGAGGAACACCAGUGGCGAAGGCGAGUCUCUGGACGACUCCUGACACUGAGGCACGAAGGCCAGGGGAGCAAACGGG
Molecule: ribosomal RNA, 253 nt
Filed under: uncultured bacterium
Lineage: Bacteria
Description: partial 16S ribosomal RNA
Rfam family: Bacterial small subunit ribosomal RNA
Source: RNAcentral